This 9266-nucleotide long non-coding RNA is filed under the name Lactuca sativa (garden lettuce). Its description in RNAcentral is "long non-coding RNA (LSAT_LNC005208)". The record is from RNAcentral. Lineage: Eukaryota; Viridiplantae; Streptophyta; Magnoliopsida; Asterales; Asteraceae.
UCACAGGUGAUUGAUAACCCGCAUGCACAAGGAUUUACCACACUGUAAACUGUUUUACCAAGUAAGACACUAUAAAUGGUUUUCUAAAAGGUUUUCACUUGUUUCAAAACUCUUACUUAUGCUGUUUUAUGAAAGUUCAUUUUGAACUGGUUUAUGAAAAGUUUCCAAGGGAUUUCUAAAGGUUUUUCAAACUUAUUUUACAACAGAAUACCCUGUCGUGAUUUUCUCAAGAAUAAAGGUUUUCUUCCAUGUUUUGAUACUCCUCCUUAGUUAAAGUUCCUACUUGAUAACGCUUUCACUUUGUGAUGCGUUUAUACCUAUUAUUACCUAUACUUCGCUUAUACUUGUGAUAGCUUAUACCCGUUAGACGCUCUUACUUCACUUGUAGUCGCUUCCAGUUCGUGAUAUACUUAUACCAGUUAACGCUUACACUUCACGAUCCGGUUAUUCCACACUGUUCGGUUAUUCAUCAUGAUACGAUUAAUCCACACUGUACAGGUAUACUUCACGAUCCGGUUAUUCCAUACGAUUCGGUUAUACUUCACGGUAUGAUUCCACUUGUUACACACUCAAGCAUAGUUAGAUGUAUGUUUGUGCUUGUUUAGAUGCAUAUAAAUAAUGAUUGAAGGACUUAGGAAGGCUUGUCCGCCCUAUUUCCUUUUCUUCGUUGAGAUGUGGUCUGGUGGGAUCGAAUGUCCAUCCGAAGGUCGUUUGAUUCAUUAGUUAUAUAUUAUGUACACAAGCAUAGACAUAUAGGUUUACAUUAGUCAGUUCAGUUAAGAGUCUCUACCACCAGUUCAGCACUUACAUUGGAAACCCUCUACCCACUAUUUGGGGUGCAUCUUCGGGACACGGCCUUCUCCGUCGUCUUGUUGGUAACCAGAGUCUCAUGUAGGGAGAGCGGACAUUGUAUGUAUAGAUCUAUACGGGAUUGACACCCCCGCACCCUGACUGCUAGCUAUAGUCCACGGCCUACCAAGCCAAGGGGUGACAAAUGUCAUAUUCUCUAGACGCUUGUAGGGCGUCAGGUACUCUAGUGUCGGUUAGUAUGGUUACGAGUAUCGGAGGUUAGCUUAUAAUUCAUGGCCAUAAGGUAAUGGCUUUUCACCAGCAAUUUACAUUGUAUGCUGGAACUCACUCUCGGAGUCACACUGUUUUAGACCUUGCUAGACGUAUCAUUCAUUUGAUACUGUCUGGGGUCUGCAUUCACUGUAUUCACUGUACUCACUGUUUUUAGACCUUGCUAGACGUAUCAUUCAGUUGAUACUGUCUGGGGUCUAUGUUCACUGUUUUAGACCUUACUAGCUAUACCUUUCAUUUGGUACUGUCUGGGGUCUGUGUCUCUUUCUGUUAGACUGAGCCAGGCGUGUCGUUCAUUCGAUACUCUCCUGGAGUCUAUGAUUCCUUCCGCCUUAGUCAGCAGUCCUCACUGCUGAGGCAUAUGUUAUUUUCCCUGAUAUUCUCCAACUUUCUUAAAAAGCAAAUCCCGUAUUUUGAAAAUGAAAGUGUUUAAGGGAAAACUACUUUUUACCACAUAACUCUGACCAGUCUUGGUAGAAGACUGCUUUUUAAUUAGAAAAUAGAAGAUUUUCUAGAAAGGACUCUAUUUCACUGUAUACUUGAAAUCUACCACAUAUAUAAAUUUAUUUGAUUAAAAUGUCACUAAAUGCUUAUGAUGUAACAACGUAAAUUUUCAAACAAAAUUUUCAUUUCAAAAUAAAGUAUUUUCAUUCAAACAAGGCAUAAACAUUCCAAGUGUCAUGUCAAAAUACAAAUCAUAUAAAUCCCAAGAUCACAAAACAUCUAUCAGUGUGUACAGAUCACGUCGGCGCCUUCCCACGGUCCCCGCUAGUACCUGAAACACAUACAUAACAACUGUAAGCAUAAAUGCUUAGUGAGUUCCCCAAAAUACAAGUUACGCACAUACGCCUUUCCAGGCCCUGACCUUCCGGUCCCUGUGUCUCAGGGGACUUCCGUCCCUGCUGGGUAAACCUUCCGGUCCUACCCACGCCAACCUUGCGGUUCACAACACAACGCCUUCCGGCCCAUAACAUAAUCGCCUUCCGAUCCAUAACAUAUUGCCUUCCGGCCCACAUAAACAUACAUAGCACGCAUAACAAUUAACUUAUCACAUAUAGCACAUAUAUCACAUAUCAUAUCCGACCUUCCGGUCACACAGUCAAACCCUUUCGGGUAGGGUAUAGUGAGAAGACUCACCUCGUGAAUAUUGAAGGCUAGCAAAUCCCGAAGUCACUCGUGCUCGAUCCGCCGAGCUACAAUCUCCCUAUAACAUCAUACAUCUCUUAUUAACACUUUUAUCUUCUAAGUUUGACUAUCCCUAAAAAGUCAACCAUAAGUCAACCCUGGUCAACGGUCAACGGUCAACUUGACCAGACCCGGCGAGUGCUAGGGCGACUCGGCGAGUCUAGACGUCCUCACCAAUUCUCUAAGAUUCCCUUUCUACUCGUCGAGUAUCCCCCUUAACUCGACGAGUUCCUCCUAGCAGAAUCGCGGGGCCACCCCGACUCAACUCGCCGAGUCUGAAGAACAACUCGGCGAGUCCCAGUUAAUCUUCAAGCUACUCGCCGUGUCUGUUCAUCGGACUCGGCGAGUCCAUGCCAUGCAACCGCUCAAACUGCAUCCUAAGGUCAGAACUGCUUCGACCAUUCCUAGGUCUGGCCUUCCUAGGCUGAUCCAUCACGUAAAGUCCUCAUUUCAGUGCUCAUGAUACACCAUAUGAUUCAUAAUUUACAUUUUGACCUAAGGCAUAAGGAUUCCAAUCCAAAACCUUCAUCAAUUCCCGAAAUGCACAGACAUGGGACAUUCUGGACCUCCAAAGGUCCCAAUACAGGGUUACAAUCGAUUAGGGGACUAGGGUAACAUUCAAUCUAUUCACAAAAGGGUUCCAUAAACCCUAAUUCCAUAAUCACAUCAACAUAGCAGAGUAUACUCGAAUUCUUACCUGGAUGAUGUAUCCUCUGUGUCCCCAAUCCUCAGAAUGUGACUCCCUUGCUGCUCCUUUAGCCAAUCCCUUCUCUUCCUUGCACAACCACUCUUCUAUAAUCAACAAUGGCCUAUAAUCCUUGCUCCAGAUGCACACAAUCGAUUUAGGGUUCUUCUCAGAAGGCUAAAAUGAACAAUGACGGCCAAUAAGUCCCUUUUAUACGUCCCAAACCUGAACGGUUAGGGUUUUCGCUAAACAGCGUAGACUCGCCGAGUCCAUAUCUGGACUCGUCGAGUCCAGUCGCGAACCCGCGACCAAGUCUGCGAUCCUACUCGGCGAGUCUAGGCUCCAACUCGCCGAGUCCCCUCUUAAAUCACCCCAAAAACAUAAUUUAACAAUACCUGAGAUUCCGGGCUGUUACAACUCUCCCCCACUAGGAUUAGACUUCGCCCUCGAAGUCUCACUCUGAAAAUAGUUCCGGAUGCUGCUCCCGCAUCUCACGUUCCGGCUCCCAAGUCAUUUCCGAUCCCUUACGGUGUUGCCACUGAACCAACACCAGAGGUACCUCCUUGUUCCUCAGAACCUUGAUCUUCCGAUCCCUGAUGGCCACUGGUCUCUCAGCAUAAUUCAGGCUCGCAUCCACCUGAAUAUCCUCCAAUGGAACCACUGCCGACUCAUCGGCUAUGCACUUCCUCAAUUGCGACACAUGAAAAGUGUCGUGGAUCUGUCCCAACUCCGCUGGCAACUCCAACCGAUAGGCUACCCGGCCUAUCCUUGCAAUCACACGAAAUGGCCCAAUAUACCGGGGCCCCAACUUGCCCCUCUUCCUGAAUCGAAUCACUCCUUUCCAAGGAGAGACCUUCAGGAGAACGAAGUCGCCGACUUGAAACUCAAGCUCGGAUCGGCGCCUGUCUGCAUAACUCUUCUGUCGGCUCUGGGCGGUCAAUAACCUCUGUCUAACUUGCUGAAUCUGCUCUGUCGUCUGAAGCACGAUCUCUGUGCUGCCCAUCACUCUCUGUCCCACCUCUCCCCAGCAAAUGGGGGUCCGACACCUCCUACCAUACAACAGCUCAAAAGGUGGCAUACCAAUGCUCGAAUGAUGGCUGUUGUUGUAGGAAAACUCUGCUAAGGGUAAAUAUGCAUCCCAGCUACCCCCGAAGUCUAACACACACGCUCGAAGCAUGUCCUCCAGCGUCUGAAUCGUCCGCUCGCUCUGACCGUCUGUCUGGGGAUGGUAUGCGGUACUAAAAUGCAAUUUAGUACCCAGCUCCUCAUGGAAUUUCUUCCAGAACCUGGAAGUGAAGCGCACAUCACGGUCUGAAACAAUCGAGAUCGGCACCCCAUGCCGAGAUACCACUUCUCUCACAUAUAUCUCCGCCAACUUCUCCGCUGAAGAACUCUCGCUGAUGGCAAGGAAGUGUGCACUCUUCGUCAACCUAUCCACAAUCACCCAAAUUGCAUCAACUCCCCUGGCAGUCCUCGGCAAUUUGGUGAUGAAAUCCAUAGUGAUCUGUUCCCACUUCCACUCGGGGAUCUCCAAUGGCUGUAACUUGCCAUGCGGUCUCUGGUGCUCGGCCUUAACCCUACGACAGGUCAAGCACCUCUCAACGAACCAUGCGACGUCCCUCUUCAUACAGGGCCACCAAUACUCUUUCCUCAAGUCCAAAUACAUCUUCGUAGCACCGGGAUGGAUCGAGAAUUUCGAUCUAUGAGCCUCUUCCAUCAAAGUAAUACGCGUACCGCCCACGAACGGUACCCAAAUCCGACCCUGAAACGUCAUAAGCCCUCGUCCAUCCUUAACGAACUCUGAAAUUAACCCCACAACCCGCUCUUUCUUCUGCAUUUCUGGUCGCACAGCCUCGGCCUGUGCCCCACGAAUAGCAUCCAAUACUGGAGUCAUCACAGUCAGUCUCAAGCAUACAUCUCGCAAUGGAGUGCUCUCCGCCCUGCGGCUCAACGCGUCGGCUACCACAUUAGCCUUGCCUGGGUGGUACAGGAUCUCACAAUCAUAAUCCUUGACCACAUCCAACCACCUCCUCUGACGCAUAUUUAGGUUGGGCUGAUCCAUCAAAUACUUCAAGCUCUUAUGGUCCGUGUAUAUCGUACAUCGAACCCCAUACAAGUAGUGACGCCAAAUCUUGAGAGCGAACACUACUGCCCCCAACUCUAAAUCAUGCGUGGGAUAUCUCGCCUCAUGAGGCUUCAGCUGCCUCGACGCAUAAGCUAUCACAUGACCCCUCUGCAUCAACACUGCACCCAGUCCCGAAAUCGAUGCGUCGCAAUAUACUACAAAAUCUUCCAUCCCUUCCGGGAGAGCUAAUACCGGGGCUUCGCACAACCUCUGGCGAAGUGUCUCAAAGGAGGUCUGCUGCUCGGGCCCCCAUGAGAAUGCAACACCCUUCCGGGUCAAUCUGGUGAGCGGCACUGCGAUCUUGGAGAAAUCCUUAAUGAAUCUCCGAUAAUACCCUGCCAACCCAAGGAAGCUCCUGAUCUCAGAGGGUGACUUCGGCACCUCCCAACUCAUCACCGCCUCAACCUUGGCCGGAUCGACCAAUAUCCCUUUCUGAUUAACAACAUGUCCUAGAAAUUGGACCUCCCGCAACCAGAAGUCACAUUUGGAGAACUUUGCAUAAAGCUUCUCCGACCUCAAUACCUCAAGGACCUCCCUCAAAUGCUCCUCAUGCUGCUCUCUAGAUCUCGAAUACACCAGAAUGUCGUCGAUAAAUACAAUCACUGACCGAUCCAACAUCGGCCUGCAUACCCUGUUCAUGAGAUCCAUGAACACAGCCGGGGCAUUGGUGAGCCCGAAAGGCAUCACCACAAACUCAUAAUGCCCAUAUCGCGUCCUAAACGCUGUCUUCUGGACGUCCUCAUCCCGCACUCUCACCUGAUGGUACCCUGACCUCAGAUCGAUCUUGGAAAACCAAGAUGCUCCCUGCAACUGAUCGAAUAAAUCAUCGAUCCUCGGUAACGGGUAACGGUUCUUGACCGUCAACUUGUUCAACUCCCGGUAAUCAAUGCACAUCCGGUGUGAACCAUCCUUCUUCUUGACGAACAGAAUAGGUGCUCCCCACGGCGAGCUGCUCGGCCGAAUGAAUCCCUUCCCCAGCAACUCCUGAAGCUGCGAGGACAACUCUUGCAUCUCUGGAGGUGCAAGACGAUAAGGCACCUUAGCAAUAGGCGCGGCCCCCGGAACCAGAUCGAUACCAAACUCUACUUGCCUCACAGGAGGUACUCCCGGCAGCUCCUCGGGGAAAACAUCUGGAAACUCACGCACCACUGGGACCUCCUCAACUGAUCUCGGUCUCUCGGAAACCUCCCGCGUAUCCAUCACAUACGCCACAAAACCCUUACAGCCCUGCUGUAGACACUGCCUCGCCCUAGCGGCCGAACAAAAAGCUGAUCCCGAACGGGUACCCUCGCCGUACACCGAAAGAACUCCCCCACUAGGGUCUCGUAUAGUCACCAGCUGACGCUCACAGUCGAUGACGGCGCCGAAUCGGCUCAACCAGUCCAUGCCCACAAUGACACAGACAUCACCCAUCGCAAUAGGAAUCAGAUCAAUCGGAAACUCAACCCCGAAAAUCUCUAACACACAUCCCCGGAGAACCUCCGUGGCACAAAUCACUCUCUCGUCAGCUAUAGAAACUCUCAGAGGCCGACUCAACGACUCACGACUAACGCUGAUAUGCUGACUAAAAGCCAAAGAUACAAAGGACCGACUCGCACCCGAGUCAAAUAACACUAAAGCAGGCACAGAGUUCACAAGGAAAGUACCUACGCAUAUCAUAACAUAAGCAUAACAUCUCAACAUCAAAAUAAAUACAUGAAAUAAAGCAUACCUGCCACAACAUCGGGCGCAGCGCGGACCUCCUCCGCAGUCAGCUGAAAGGCUCUCCCACGAGCCCUCGGGGCCUCGGCCUUCACCGGUCGAGUCUCAGUAGCCCUGGCAGUAGGUGCAGAUCCCUGAAGAAGCUGAGGGCACUCGGCCUUCCGAUGGCCUGUCUGGUUGCAAUGAAAGCAAACCAUAAACCCCUUGGGGCAAUCCCUAGCGAUGUGCCCCUCCUUGCCACACUUGUAGCAAGCACCAGAUCGACAUGUCCCCUCAUGACCCUUGCCGCACUUUCCGCAAGUGCGGCCCUUCGGACCUCCCGUCCUCGAAUCGACGGACUUAGUCCGCUUGGCUGCCGGCUGAGACUGAGCCGGCCGCCGGUCCACCCGCUGAGACUCGGCCUCCUCCCUGGCCUGGGUCUCCAACUCAAUCUCGCGCUUCCUGGCAUUCGCCUGAAGCUCAGCAAAGGUAUGAUAGGUGGAGUUUGACACAAACUCCCGGAUAUCCCUCCUCAAAACACCCAAGUACCGGCUCAUCCGAGCCUGCUCUGUGGACACCAGCUCGGGGCAGAACAUCGCCCUCUCAUGAAACUUCCGCGUGAUCACCGCAACCGAAUCAGUACCCUGCUUGAGGGUCAAGAACUCCUGAACCAAUCGUUCCCUCUCCACCGGGGGAACGUACUCGUCUCUAAACAUAGAGGUAAACCCCUCCCAUGUCAUUGCUGAAACCUCUGCCACAGUGAAGUUCGCCGUCACGAACUUCCACCAAUCCUUCGCUCCCAGACAGAGCUGGUUCAAAGCGAACCGUACCCUUAGAUGCUCCAGACAUGAACAAGUGUAGAAGCACCCCUCAAUAUCAGCGAUCCACCUCAUCGCAGCAAUCGGAUCCUGCGUCCCAUCAAACUCAGGUGGCUUCGUGUUGCUGAACUCCUGAAACAGCAACGAGUCACCCCCCUGUGGCCUGGCAGCGGCCACAGCUGCGGUAGCUGCAGCGGCUGCAGCCUCAGUCAAUGCGGCGUACCGCUCAUCAAAAGUCUCCAUCAAGGUGGUCUUAAUAGACCCAAACAUCUCCGGAAUCUCAGCCCGGAUCGCUGCAGCCACCUCCUCAUGAAUCAUCUGACGAAUCUCCUCGUCACUCACACCGCUCGAACUCGAUCCGUGGCGUGGUCUAACCAUGAUGUCUCUGAAAUACAACAUAAAACUAUCAGAGACUCCAUCGAGUAUAAUCGCACUCGAUAACGCAACCCUACUCAGUCUCCGAUAUCCAGGGAUUCUUACUUGGGUCUCCCACUGACCCGGUGUCUUCGGUAGUACGGGCCCAAUACUACCGACCACACCGCAUCAACAUUCAUCCCAAAUCUUCCUCCCCAAACCCCGGAUAAUGAGUACUCUACUUUUGAUAUGCAUUAUCUAUCUGUACGAUAUCAAAGCAUCUCAUAUCAGCAAACUUCCCUAGACUAAGGCAUCACAAAUCAGGCCACUCUAGUCCUAUCAUGGAUACCUAGUCUUCUAGCAUGCAUAACAGUUCACAUCAUAUCUUAUCUCUUAACAUAACAUUGUAAGGUAUUUUGGGGAUCUUUACCGUUCGGGCGCUGACUGAUCGUACACACUGCUUCUUUCUUGUUUACCACAAAAUCAUUUACAAAAGUUUAUGCCUUUAUUUUAAAAGUUUUCCUCAAAUCCUCGGUUUGAGUUCAGUUACGCCCGAAGGUGCACCCGAAUCCCUCAAACCAAGGCUCUGAUACCAAUUUGUAACAACGUAAAUUUUCAAACAAAUUUUUCAUUUCAAAAUAAAGUAUUUUCAUUCAAAUAAGGCAUAAACAUUCCAAGUGUCAUGUCAAAAUACAAAUCAUAUAAAUCCCAAGAUCACAAAACAUCUAUCAGUGUGUACAGAUCACGCCGGUGCCUUCCCACGGUCCCCGCUAGUACCUGAAACACAAACAUAACAACUGUAAGCAUAAAUGCUUAGUGAGUUCCCCAAAAUACAACUUACGCACAUACGCCUUUCCAGGCCCUAACCUUCCGGUCCCUGUGUCUCAGGGGACUUCCGUCCCUGCUGGGUAAACCUUCCGGUCCUACCCACGCCAACCUUACGGUCCACAUUACACGCCUUCCGGCCCAUAACAUAAUGCCUUCCGGCCCACAUAAACAUACAUAGCACGCAUAACAAUUAACUUAUCACAUAUAGCACAUAUAUCACAUAUCAUAUCCGACCUUCCGGUCACACAGUCAAACCCUUCCGGGUACGGUAUAGUGAGAAGACUCACCUCGUGAAUAUUGAAGGCUAGCAAAUCCCGAAGUCACUCGUGCUCGAUCCGCCGAGCUACAAUCUCCCUAUAACAUCAUACAUCUCUUAUUAACACUUUUAUCUUCUAAGCUUGACUAUCCCUAAAAAGUCAACCACAGGUCAACCCUGGUCAACGGUCAACGGUCAACUUGACCGGACCCGGCGAGUGCUAGGGCGACUCGGCGAGUCUAGACGUCCUCACCA